AUAGUCUCAAAGUCAUUGGGGUUUAGAAUAGUCUCAUAGUCAUUGGGGUUUAGAAUAGUCUUAUUGUCAUUGUGGUUUAGAAUAGUCUCAUGGUAGUUUGGUUUUCUUCUGAACCUAGGAUUCUAAGGUCAGCAUUCCUCUGAUCAACGUAGAUUACUAAAGAACCCAUUGGAAUCAACCACUUCACUCCAACUCUUGGGGAAAUAGGAGCUAAGUAUCCUCCCCAAAAAAAAUUCUAUCGUCUUUACCAUCAAUACAUUUAUCCAUUUUUUAACCUGUAAAGAACAUUUAUCUAUUGAGGGCCAAUAUCUUCUAGAACUUGAAGCACUUACAGGACGGUUUGUUGAGGCAACCUCUUGGAGAUAAAGCGACAGUGAUACCCACUCAAUAGUCUCAAAGUCAUUGGUUUAGAUUACUCUCAAGUCAUUUGGUUUUCUUCUAAGCCUAGGAUUCUAAGGUCAGCAUUCCUCAGAUCAACAUAGAUUAAUAAAGAAGCCAUUGCAAUCAGCAACUUCACUCCAACUUCUAGAGAAAUAUCAUGGAGCUAAGGAACCUCCAGAAAAAUGAUUCUAUUGUCUUUAUCAUCAAAAAAUUUAUCCAUUUUUUGCACCUAUAAUGAAUGUUUAGAAAUUGCGAG
Cucurbita maxima (winter squash) is the source of this 637-nucleotide long non-coding RNA. RefSeq lists it as uncharacterized. The transcript is spliced from 3 exons. The record is from RefSeq and is a predicted model, not a curated record. NCBI's taxonomy places the organism in Eukaryota, Viridiplantae, Streptophyta, Magnoliopsida, Cucurbitales, Cucurbitaceae.